RNAcentral lists this ribosomal RNA (1367 nucleotides) under uncultured beta proteobacterium. Its description in RNAcentral is "bacterial SSU rRNA". It matches the Rfam family "Bacterial small subunit ribosomal RNA", at positions 27 to 1392 of the family's 1533-position model. Lineage: Bacteria; Pseudomonadati; Pseudomonadota; Betaproteobacteria. The record is from RNAcentral.
GAUUGAACGCUGGCGGCAUGCCUUACACAUGCAAGUCGAACGGCAGCACGGGUGCUUGCACCUGGUGGCGAGUGGCGAACGGGUGAGUAAUACAUCGGAACAUGUCCUGUAGUGGGGGAUAGCCCGGCGAAAGCCGGGUUAAUACCGCAUACGAUCUACGGAUGAAAGCGGGGGACCUUCGGGCCUCGCGCUAUAGGGUUGGCCGAUGGCUGAUUAGCUAGUUGGUGGGGUAAAGGCCUACCAAGGCGACGAUCAGUAGCUGGUCUGAGAGGACGACCAGCCACACUGGGGCUGAGACACGGCCCAGACUCCUACGGGAGGCAGCAGUGGGGAAUUUUGGACAAUGGGCGAAAGCCUGAUCCAGCAAUGCCGCGUGUGUGAAGAAGGCCUUCGGGUUGUAAAGCACUUUUGUCCGGAAAGAAAUCCUUGGCUCUAAUACAGUCGGGGGAUGACGGUACCGGAAGAAUAAGCACCGGCUAACUACGUGCCAGCAGCCGCGGCAAUACGUAGGGUGCGAGCGUUAAUCGGAAUUACUGGGCGUAAAGCGUGCGCAGGCGGUUUGCUAAGACCGAUGUGAAAUCCCCGGGCUCAACCUGGGAACUGCAUUGGUGACUGGCAGGCUAGAGUAUGGCAGAGGGGGGUAGAAUUCCACGUGUAGCAGUGAAAUGCGUAGAGAUGUGGAGGAAUACCGAUGGCGAAGGCAGCCCCCUGGGCCAAUACUGACGCUCAUGCACGAAAGCGUGGGGGAGCAAACAGGAUUAGAUACCCUGGUAGUCCACGCCCUAAACGAUGUCAACUAGUUGUUGGGGAUUCAUUUCCUUAGUAACGUAGCUAACGCGUGAAGUUGACCGCCUGGGGAGUACGGUCGCAAGAUUAAAACUCAAAGGAAUUGACGGGGACCCGCACAAGCGGUGGAUGAUGUGGAUUAAUUCGAUGCAACGCGAAAAACCUUACCUACCCUUGACAUGGUCGGAAUCCUGCUGAGAGGUGGGAGUGCUCGAAAGAGAACCGGCGCACAGGUGCUGCAUGGCUGUCGUCAGCUCGUGUCGUGAGAUGUUGGGUUAAGUCCCGCAACGAGCGCAACCCUUGUCCUUAGUUGCUACGCAAGAGCACUCUAAGGAGACUGCCGGUGACAAACCGGAGGAAGGUGGGGAUGACGUCAAGUCCUCAUGGCCCUUAUGGGUAGGGCUUCACACGUCAUACAAUGGUCGGAACAGAGGGUUGCCAACCCGCGAGGGGGAGCUAAUCCCAGAAAACCGAUCGUAGUCCGGAUUGCACUCUGCAACUCGAGUGCAUGAAGCUGGAAUCGCUAGUAAUCGCGGAUCAGCAUGCCGCGGUGAAUACGUUCCCGGGUCUUGCACUCACCG